UUGCUUAUAUGCGCGAAGCUGCUAUUCCCAUUUCCCACUCUUUCUUCCCUCACUCAUCAUUUUCACUUUCAUUUGCUUCGGAAUUCGAGAAUGAGAGAAGAGGUUAUCAGCUACGGAGGCACCGUUGAUCCAACACCUGCUGCAAGUUCUGCUGGGGCAUCAUCCCCAGCUGUUCCAAUGAAUGUUGGCAGCAUAGAUGGGUCAAGUCAUGGACAAGUCUCUAAAGCGGCUUCUCUCUCGUGUGUUGGUUCACAACCACCAUGGACUUCAUUGAGCACAAGUGCUGGCGGUUCUGCUUUUUGAUUCUUCAAGAUCUUCAUGUAGACCUUGGGAAAGAGGAGAUUUAUUAAGACGUUUGGCUACAUUUAUUCCUUCAAAUUGGCUUGGGAAGCCUCAGAGAACUGGAUGAAUCUCUAAGACCGGGUGUCGUUGCUUUAAUAGAUGCUUGCUCACGUGAUGAUAUUCAAUAUCUUCAUACUGUAUUUGGGGAAGGACCUUGCAGAAAUAUCCUGUUAACUCUUGUGGGUGAUCGCAAACUUACCGAAUUUAAAGGAAAAGUUUGAUCUUGAAAUUCUGUUGGUGGUAAUUUUUUGUGCAAUCAUUUUAUUUCCCCGCAGAACUUUCAACAGAGAUUGAUAAUGAGGUGUCGACUAAUAUUCAUAGAAAGCAAUUACUACUCCCAUGGAAAACUUUGUUUAUGCAAAUUCUAUACGUUAUGAAAUCAGAUCUUCAGCAGCUUCCAUUCUUAGUGGAACUUCGUUUUUAGAUGUCUACUUCAUAUUUAAGAACUUGUAUCUUUGUGAUGGGUACCUUAAUGGUAGUGAGAUGUAUUCAUUUUUUAGGAACUGGUAAAUACCAUUUGCAUUCAGUUUGUAGUACAGUACAACAUUAGCAAUAUUCAGAUGAAAGCAAAAACUAUCAUAUACCUACUUCUUCAAUGAGCAGAGAUAAAUGCAAAGGCUCUAGUGUUUGUUCUUUCGUU
Glycine soja is the source of this 982-nucleotide long non-coding RNA. RefSeq lists it as uncharacterized. The transcript has 4 exons. The record is from RefSeq and is a predicted model, not a curated record. NCBI's taxonomy places the organism in Eukaryota, Viridiplantae, Streptophyta, Magnoliopsida, Fabales, Fabaceae.